UGUGGCCUUGUUGUUUCUGUUGAAGAAGUAGAAGUCGUCUGCUUCAGAGGAGCGGUGAGAGCGUGUUUAGGAGAAAGAGGAAGACUUGUUUUUAUAUCGUUUCAUAUCAAGUCUUUAUUAGUAGUGGCGCAGUGGAACAAUGGCUGUUGAAGUUGAUGUGGUUAACCAGGAACUGAUCCAGCCUCAUCACGAUGUGAAGCUGUUCAACCGGUGGACCUUUGACGAUGUCCAAGUGAAUGACAUCUCUCUGGUUGAUUACGUUGGUGUUGCACCUGCCAAGCAUGCCACCUAUGUCCCCCACACUGCCGGGAGGUACUCUGUCAAGCGCUUUCGAAAAGCUCAGUGCCCAAUUAUUGAGAGGCUCACAAAUUCUCUGAUGAUGCAUGGAAGAAACAACGGGAAGAAACUCAUGGCUGUCAGGAUUAUUAAGCAUGCAAUGGAGAUUAUUCAUCUUCUGACCGAUCUCAACCCAAUUCAAGUCAUUGUCGAUGCGGUUGUUAACAGUGGACCACGUGAAGAUGCCACUCGAAUUGGCUCAGCUGGUGUUGUUAGGCGUCAAGCUGUGGAUAUAUCCCCUUUGCGACGUGUUAAUCAGGCAAUCUAUCUUCUUACAACAGGUGCUCGUGAGGCCGCUUUCAGAAACAUCAAAACAAUUGCAGAAUGCUUGGCGGAUGAACUUAUUAAUGCAGCAAAGGGAUCAUCCAACAGUUAUGCAAUCAAGAAAAAGGAUGAGAUUGAAAGAGUUGCUAAGGCAAAUCGUUGAGAGAUGGUCGAGCAAAAAAACAAACGAUGUCAAUUAGCAAAACAAUCAAAUCUAAAGGAAAGGUAGAAGAAAAGCAAAUGAAGAAUGAAAAGGAAGCGGAGUUAAGUCACUACUGCUACAGCAACUCGAACUCUUCGAGAAGCACAUAAGCAUUGGGUAAAGGCAAAUGAAAAAGCUCGAGCAUACAUCUUGGUAAGCUUAUUUGAAGUAUUGGGCAAGAAACAUGAAUCAAUGCUAACGACUUGUGAGAUCAUUGACUCAUUGCAAGAGAUGCUUGGUUAGGUCUCUUAUCAGAUCAAACAUGAUGCUUUGAAAUACAUUUAAUUAUAAUGCAUGUAUGAACGAAUUGAAGGAGCCUCAGUGCGAGAACAUGUUCUCAAUAUGAUGGUUCAUUUCAACGUACAUGCCAGAAAUGAAUGAGGUUGUCAUCGAUAAAGCCAGUCAGGUUAGCUUUAUUUUGGAAUCUCUGUCAGUGAGUUUUAUGCAAUUUAGAAGAAAUGUUGUUAUGAACAAGAUUCUUAUACCCUUGCCACCUUCUCAACGAGCUAGAGAAUUUUGAGUCUCUAAUGAAAAUCAAGGGACAGAAGGGAGAGGCCGACAAAUGUUGCUACUUCCACAAGAAAGUUCAAUAAAGGUUCGACCUUUGGAACCAUGUAUAUGCCUUCUUCAUCUGGCACUAAGAAGUGGAAGAAGAAGAAGGGUGGUCAAGGAAAUAAAGCUAACUUCGUUGCUGCUAAAACGAGCAAGAAAGCCAAGGCUGCAAAUAAAAUAUGUUCCAUUGCAACCAGGAGGUACAUUGGAAGAGAAACUAUCCCAAGUACUUAGCAGAAAAGAAGAAGGCCAAAUAAGGGAAUUAGUUCCUGGCGACAGUUGAAGACUUGAGAGAUGACGAUGCUGGUUGGAAUUGGGCAUGUCGUCUCCGCAGUUGUAAUGGGAGGGCUUGCUCUUUGUUUACAUAAUUUUUUCCUUUUAUUAGAAAACAUAUAUGUUGUUCCCGAUUUAAAAAGGAACUUGAUUUCUGUAAAGUGCUUACUAGAACCAAUCUUACAACUUUAACUU
Molecule: RNA transcript, 1822 nt
Organism: Cucumis sativus (cucumber)
Lineage: Eukaryota; Viridiplantae; Streptophyta; Magnoliopsida; Cucurbitales; Cucurbitaceae
Gene name: 40S ribosomal protein S5-like
Exons: 5
Source: RefSeq, a predicted model, not a curated record